ACAACUGGCUGAAGACCUGAACGAGUUUUACUGUAGGUUUAAAAAGCAAAAGACUGGUCUGACACCCCACACCCACUCCGACUAAGCUUUUGCCUUUUAAAC
Molecule: long non-coding RNA, 102 nt
Organism: Sinocyclocheilus grahami
Lineage: Eukaryota; Metazoa; Chordata; Actinopteri; Cypriniformes; Cyprinidae
Exons: 3
Source: RefSeq, a predicted model, not a curated record